RNAcentral lists this ribosomal RNA (253 nucleotides) under uncultured bacterium. Its description in RNAcentral is "partial 16S ribosomal RNA". It matches the Rfam family "Bacterial small subunit ribosomal RNA", at positions 524 to 776 of the family's 1533-position model. The record is from RNAcentral.
UACGAAGGGGGCGAGCGUUGUUCGGAUUUACUGGGCGUAAAGGGCGCGUAGGCGGCCUGGCAAGUGGAAGGUGAAAUCCCUCGGCUUAACCGAGGAACUGCCCUCCAAACUGCUUGGCUUGAGUCCGGGAGAGGUGAGUGGAAUUCCCAGUGUAGCGGUGAAAUGCGUAGAUAUUGGGAGGAACACCAGUGGCGAAGGCGGCUCACUGGACCGGAACUGACGCUGAGGCGCGAAAGCGUGGGGAGCAAACGGG